AUGGAAACCACCAUUGUAUGGAACAAUGCAGCAACAGUUGGUGCUCAGCUAUUCGAAUCCACACGGACGAUGGAGUGGAAAGAUAUGAAGAUACCUGCUGCUCAGCCGCAGAUGAUUACGAAGGAUCACAGCGGAACUGAAAAUCCAGCUUCUGAUGAUCAUCAAUAUUUCUCGAUGUUUGUGUUUAUGCUCGGUUUGGCAUACCAGAGGGAAGGAGCAACCAAGCCCUCAGCAUUGAUUAUUGAUUCCAUUCUUCACAGCACUCAGUUUCAUGUCCUAUUUGCUGUAUUUCUUCUUUGCCGUUAUUUGUUUCAAAUAUCACUGUAUCAUGUGCUCUUCCCCGUCAUUCUUGUCCCACUAAUACUUUCUAUCUACUUCUACAUCAACUAUGAGCCAUUUCUCUACUUGGAGGAAGAUAUCAAGCGGAUCAGAAGAGAAUCGAGGUUACUGCAUGCUAUUUCAGAGGAUGCAGCAAAAGUAAUGGAGUUAACAGAAGAGAUAAACACCAGAGCCUGUCAAAUCUGGGAAUCUGACCACUACUCUGUUGGAGCAACUAUAGAAGGGCUGGAUAAAACCGAGUUGGCAUGGGUUGAGCAAGCCAAAUCCAUUGUUCGAAGAGCAAAAUAUUUGGUCGAAACCUUUGAGAAACACAGAAGGGACUCCCACAUAAUAAGUUUUGCUACAAUCAGGAAGAAUCUCAGCCAGAUGGGAGAGCUUUCCAGUGAAACUAACCGGGUUAAAGAGGAGAUAAAAAACAUCAUUGAGAAGAAGGUGUGUGGGAUUAACAUAUGCGAAUCACUAGAGAGAUUGAGGUCUGACAUUAGAAGCCUUCGGGACAGAUCUGUUGAAGAACAAGAGCAUAGAUGGGUACUAAAUUCCAAAGAAGGAGCUGCCUCACCAGCUGAUUUGACUUUCUCUACAUCACAGAAAAUAAAAAGGCUGAUAAUUCAAGACCCAGUCUUAAUGCGUGAUACUGGAGAGAAAAUAAAGGCAAUAAAUCUGCAGUUGCUUCUGCUGCACCCUUUUCUGAAGGAUAUAGAAGGACUUCAGUUUGAGAGCGAAACUGAAAAGGCGUGGGUGGAAGAACUGGAAGAGAUCAUUAAUGAAGCACAUCCUGCCAUUGAAAACUUCUCACAGAGGCCUCCGUUGUUAUCAGUUGCUGGCAGUUGGAAGGCAUGGAGGAAUCUCAAACAGAACAUAAGGUGCAUUGAAGUUGGGUUCUCAGACCUUUUAGAAAAAAAAGAUAGAUAUGGCUUCAGAUUUAUAAGCAGAGAUUCAUCAAAGUUUGUCUAUCAACCCUCCUACCGCACCACUGCUGGCGAAUUUGUUUCACCUGUACUAGACAGUUUGCGACAGCACCUGGAGUCAUCGGUGUUUGAGGUAUAUUUUCAUGUCAAAUGGCUAUGCAAUAAAUUGGAAAAGAUGCCUAAACUUCUAGAUGAUGCUGGAAAAAUUAGAAGCAGAUAUAAUUCCAGAAAAGCUGGGUUGGAGCAAAUGAAGAAAAUUGUUCUAAGGGCAGAAAAAUCUGUGAAAAAAUUCGUGAAGGAUUCAGACACUUCGAAAACAAGAGAUGGGAUGAAGCUUUUUCAUGAAAUUGACCAAAUCAAUCGUACAAUUGAUAUUUUUCUAAGAUGCAUAAAAGCAUACACCAUUGAAUUGACCGAAGAGUCAAGCUCAGUGGUUGGUUUGGAAGAAGACAUGUUGGCAGUGGUGUCACAGCUGACAACCAACAAUGAACAUCACUCUGUUAUUUCAGUUGUGGGGGUUGAGGGAAUAGGUAAGACAACACUGGCAAAGAAAAUUUAUAACCAUGGAGUUGUUGUGGACCAUUUUCCCUGCCGUGCAUGGGUUUCUCUACCUCACGGCGACUCUAAUAACAAAGAACAGCUGAUUUUGGAAGGUGUAGCAAAGCAGGUCUUGAGGUCUCUUAAACCAGAAGGGCGCCAAGAGAUCAAUCAGAAUGAAUCCAGCAGGAUCGACGAGGCACAUAAUAUCUUAAAAGCUGAGCGGUGCCUUUUAGUUAUUGACAACAUAUCCACAAUGGUAGAGUGGAAUACUCUGAAAGCAUCAUUUCCAGUAACUAAAUCAAGUGGGAGCAGAAUUCUGCUCACUACACGCAACCACAAGUUGGCUUCACAAGUCGACAGCGACAACCCUCCCCACCAGCUUCGACCACUAACCAGAGAAGAGAGCUGGCAGUUGUUCAACCAGGCGGUGCACUUCCCUCCAAAAUGGAAAAUGCUAGCAAAAGAAAUUUUGAGUAAAUAUAAGGGUUCACCAUUAGCCAUCUCAAGAGUUGAAAAGGGUGAUCCAAUACAUCAACCAGAAUGAUACAGCAUCGAUUCGUACCUACACCAUAGGGUGUGCGGAUAAGUUACCUCCUCAUCUAUCCCAUUGUCUUUCUUGCUUCAAAGUCUUCCCAAGGGAUUUCAAAAUUCCUACGAGGAGAUUAAUUGCUAUGUGGAUUGCAGAAGGUUUGGUAGACGUAAGGGAUAAGACGACAGAACCUUAUGAAGAUGUGGCACACGUAAGGGAUAAGGCGACAGAAUAUGAAGAUGUGGCAAACACGUAUUUAUCGGAGUUAAUUGAUCGGGACAUUGUUCAAGUAGUUGAAAGAAAGGUGAAUGGGAGAGUCAAGACAUGUUGCUUGCACAAAGAUUUACAAGAACCGAUCAGGUCCAAAUCUAUGAUGUUAGAUCAGAGGCGACUUGCUGAUCACUUAAACUCUUAUGAUCCAAGUUUUUGUCUUAUUCAUAGUGACAGCUCAGAUUUUCCAGACUCAUACAAAAAACUCAUCUCUAUUCUCUCCUUUGAUUCUAGAGAAGGAUAUAAGCCUGGAGAAGAAAUAGGCAACUUUCUACGAAAGGGCAUUGCAGGUGGUUUCUUCCAGCUUCUACAGGUUCUUGAUCUUGAACGUGUAUUCAGACCUGAAUUGCCCAAAACCAUUGAGAAAUUAAGCAAGUUGAGGUAUCUAGGCUUGAGGUGGACUUACCUUGAAUCAAUCCCUACUUCCAUUGGUAAUUUGCUGAACCUACAAACCUUGGAUGUGAAGCAUACAUAUGUCCGCACUCUCCCCCAUUCCAUAUGGAAACUACAGGAACUUCGACACCUAUACUUAAGCCAGAAUUACCGAAGUAAACUAAUGCGUCAACAAGGACGUCGCAGUUCCUUGAAGAAACUUCAGACACUGUGGGGUGUAUUUGUGGAUAAGGAUAGUCCUUUGAAGGAUGGGUUGGACAAGUUUACCAGUCUCAGAAAAUUAGGAUUGGCAUUCCAGUUAGAGAAGGAAGAUCAAAAGGCGUUAGCAGACGGGAUUCUAAAGCUGAAGCACCUUCAAUCUCUAAGAUUGAGAUCAAUUGAUGAAUUGGGUGAACCUCAUGCUCUAGCGUUGGAAUCUUUGUCAGCACUUGAGAAUCUCUCUAGCCUAAAUUUGUUUGGAAAGCUAGUUCCCUCCAUCAUACCUGAAUUACCUAAGAACCUCACUGAUCUUACUUUGUCAGCCUCUUGUCUUCAAGAAGAUCCAAUGCCGAAGUUAGAGAAGCUCCAAAACCUUAAAUCACUUUGUUUCCAUUCCAAGUCUUAUACCGGUAACAAGAUGGUUUGCUCCAACUGGGGGUUUGAAAAGCUUUUAGUUUUAAAGUUGUGGAUGCUAGAACUAGAAGAUUGGGAUGUUGAAGGAAAGGCAAUGCAAAAUCUCAGGGAGUUGGAAAUCAGAUCUUGCAAAAAAUUGAAUGCCCCAAGUGGGUUGGGACACUUAAAAACCCUCACUGAAUUGAAGCUAACAAAUAUGCCAGAAGUAUUUGUUACAACAAUCACAGAAACAAUGAGGCAAGUUUGGGUUGGCAUUAACCACCCCCCAAAAAUCAUUCCAAUCAAUUGGGAGUCAGAGGAAUAA
Molecule: non-coding RNA, 3895 nt
Organism: Prunus mume (Japanese apricot)
Lineage: Eukaryota; Viridiplantae; Streptophyta; Magnoliopsida; Rosales; Rosaceae
Source: RefSeq, a predicted model, not a curated record